RNAcentral lists this long non-coding RNA (309 nucleotides) under Theobroma cacao (cacao). Its description in RNAcentral is "long non-coding RNA (TCAC_LNC005395)". The record is from RNAcentral. Lineage: Eukaryota; Viridiplantae; Streptophyta; Magnoliopsida; Malvales; Malvaceae.
UUCAAUCAUAAUCUUAGAUUAAUAAUUUAGUUCCCCAUCAAGUCACACAUCAUCAUUGAAUAAAGUUUAAACAAUAAAAACAAACUAAGAAAACAAAAGAAUAAUAAAAAAGAUAAAACUCAAGAAUUAUAAUCUUGAUCUUCCCAGUCUUCUUGAAUCCUUCAAAAUCUUCUCAGCUUCAACGACUUUGUGACUUGAUUCUCCACUAUCAAUCUGGUGUUUCGUUCUUUUUUUUUUUAAGUCAUCCGAAAGGUUGUUUUUAUAGGCUUUAAAGUUAGGCCAAGUUGGGUGGAGAAAGAAUUCAAUUCG